CCUACGGGUGGCAGCAGUGAGGAAUAUUGGUCAAUGGUCGAGAGACUGAACCAGCCAAGCCGCGUGAGGGAUGAAGGUACAGAGUAUCGUAAACCUCUUUUGUCGGGGAGCAAAGGCGGGGACGUGUCCCCGCACGAGUGUACCUGAAGAAAAAGCAUCGGCUAACUCCGUGCCAGCGGCCGCGGUAAUACGGAGGAUGGGAGCGUUAUCCGGAUUUAUUGGGUUUAAAGGGUGCGCAGGCGGAGGGGAAAGUCAGCGGUAAAAUCGGGGGGCUCAACCUCGGCCCGCCGUUGAAACUGCGUGUCUCGAGUGGGCGAGAAGUACGCGGAAUGCGCGGUGUAGCGGUGAAAUGCAUAGAUAUCGCGCAGAACUCCGAUUGCGAAGGCAGCGUGCCGGCGCCAAACUGACGCUGAGGCACGAAAGCGUGGGUAUCGAACAGGAUUAGAUACCCGAGUAGUC
Molecule: ribosomal RNA, 459 nt
Filed under: uncultured bacterium
Lineage: Bacteria
Description: partial 16S ribosomal RNA
Rfam family: Bacterial small subunit ribosomal RNA
Source: RNAcentral